AGUACAACAAUCAAACAACAUAAUGAUUUCCACAAAGAAAAUUUAAAAAAUAUAUUUAUGUUAUGUAGUCUUAUUUUAUAUUCUUUAAAUAAUGUAAUACAGUAUUAUACAUUAUAUUUUUUUAGAAUUGAGAAAUACAUAUAAUAUCUUAUCCGCGCGUAGCGCGGUUAAAAAAUCUAAUUACUUAUAAUAACACACAUUUUUUAUGUAAUGACUAGAAUAACAUACAAAAAUUAAGAAAGAAAAAAAAUGUAGCAUAAAGUCCAAAAUACCCCAUCGUUAAGAUGAAUUAAAUUUAAAAUUAAAAUACACUAAAAAGAUAACAAUUAAAAAAAAAACUAUUCUUAAACAAAGAUGAAAAAAUCCCUCUUUCGAAAGCCCCUUCCCGACACAUGAACCCUAAAUCCCUAUAUUCCUCUAUUCUCGAAGCUCUUACGUUUUGACUCAUUCCGCCGAGAAUCGAUCUUGUUCUUAUACUUCUCUGCCGAGAAUUUGAAUCCCAGAAAUCUGACGAACCCCUAAUCUCCUUUCUGAAAUUCUGGGGAACCCUAAAUCACAAGGAAAGUCCAGAAUGGCUAAGAACCGUGAUACUUGCUGUUGUUAUUGCUACUUUCAUAAGUCUAUAGAGAUUUGUUUUUGUUACAUGACCAAGAAGAAGAAAGCUGCAAGCCAAAUUUUGUAAAAAAUCAUCCUGAUCCAUUGUUCUAAAAAAAGAAACACAACACAAAUGUCUUUUUUUGUUGCGCCAAAAGAGCCCAUUUUUCUUCUGCAGCACUCUUUGUCUCGUGUGAUCAAUACCUCAACAACACUCUUAUACUUACAUUUCAGUAAAAGUACUCUUGUAUGUUUUCAUCUCCUCUUAAAAGAGUAACUAUGAGUACUAACGUGGUGCUAAAGUAAACUCUUAAACCCAAUGCAGACUAAGCAGAACAUCGUCUGACUUGAACAAAAUUCAAACUACAUGAGUGAGACUAUAUGGAUUCGGCUUGAUACAUUGGCUAAUUUAUUUUUUUAGUUCUUUCUGAAUUAAUGUAACGUUUAGUGUCUUUGCACAGUUAUGUUUCAUAUUAAAAGAUGGGAAAUCUUAAGAAAUAGCCACUUGUAAAAAGAGAAAAUUGUGACUUGGAGAAGAAGAAGUUUUACGGCUGAAACUAAGUUCUAGUAACAGGUAGCGGUUAGUGGUCGAAUUUUUGGUUCAAUUAGAAUAAACCAGAAUUCUAAUUAGCUCUAAAUAGUUAAUCGAACCAGGAUGAAAAAAAUCUAUCCUGACGUAUAUUAAAACCUGCUGUAACAUAGAAGUUAGUUUCGUUAAUAAUUUAUAAGUCUGCAACUAAGCAUACUUAUUCGGAAAGUUUGUUGUUUAUAAACAAAAAAAUUUAAGUAUGCUAUCAUAGGAACGGAAAAUAUGCCAAACUAUAAAAAAUCUACGAAAAAAUCUGCAUGCAAGUAUAAAAGUCUAUGACAUAUUAUAAAUUUGCUAUCAUAAGGCAAAAAUCUUCUAAAAAAAGUUCGCCAACAAAAAACAAAUCUGCGAACGUAAUUAAAUCUGCCAUUAUGUGUGCUAGACUUUUUUCUAAAGGUUUGCUAUGAUAUAAAGUCUACCGCAAUAAACCUGCGAGAAGAAAUAAAUCUGCCAUCAAAUAUUGUAGAUUUUUUACGGUAAACUUAUUUACAUGUUUCAAAUUUUUUUUUUUUGGUGACGUGGCGAGUAGCAUUUUUCUGUAAAUAUUUUUUUGUUAACAAAGAAAAUAAGGGUAUUUUAGGUAUAGAAAACAAUCUAGUAAUUAAAAAUAAUUGUAUGUUAUUCUAGUAAUAAUAACAUGAUUUGAUGUUAUUUUAGUAAUUUUCCCAUUUAUUAAUUCCUCUUUGAUGUAAAAACAAAAAGAUAAAUCCAAAUCAGGUAUUUGAUUGCAUUUGUGAAUCUUAUGUUUUCUAAAAAUAUUGACUUAUCCAAAAAUCUAAAUUGACAUGUAGGCAUGUCGAAACUUUAUCAACAUAUGAUGCAUGAUUUGUGGUAUGAAUCUUUUGUGGUCACUAGUAUACUGAAUGGACAUUUUUGUCUCUAGUUCAAAUUUUUUUUUGUAAACCAUGUAAACAACUUCUUGACUCUUUCACAAAAGAAUUUUUCUUUCCUAAAAUGAAUUGUGACUGAAUCAUCUCUGUGGUAAGUAAAGUAAAAGAAGUCAUUUUUCUUUUGUUAUUUACAGAUUGAUGUAAAUUUAUAGAGAGAGUCGUUUAAAACUAUAGGUUUAAACUAUUUUUUGGAUAUUUUGUGGGAGUUUCUGAAAGCCUCCCAUAUGUAGGUACAUCUUUGCAGUCCAGAAGUAAAAAAGAUUGUGCCGCCUCUCUUCAUCCAUGCCAUCGACAAACUAAAAGUGGAAAUCCAUAUAUACGCAAAAAACAAGAGAUUAAUCCAAGAACAUUUUUUUCCAAAACCAUUGAAUAACAUAAUCUAUUUCUUCAAAGUUCUUGUAGUUAGUGUGAUUUCCAGUCUUCUAUGGAGAUUGUGUCAUGCUUUUCACCACGUAACAUACAAUCAAUGUCUUUAAGCUCCAGUGUUAAAGCAGAUUUUGUGAUCCACCGACAACAUCUUUUCAAAUCCUUCCACAAAUUGCCUCACUUGUUCUUCCACAAGUUUGACGAACAAGUGUUCUGUUCUCAGAUUUACAACUCUUUGUCCUUGAAGGCAACAUCAGUAGCUUCAUCAUUUCACAUAAAUGAAUCUCGACCAUCUUUCCCUUUUCCUCCUCAAUCUCUACUGAUAACUUUAACUUCAUCGCAUUAAAAGCCUCUUCACUCAUCUCAAAUAUUCUGCUGCAGCUUUGGUGCUCUAUCUCAUUAGUGACUGUGACUUCUUCCAAGCAACGACGGACCCAAGAAUUUUUUUUAUAUGGGUCAAAAAGGUUCAUGGUGUCUUUGAAGAGAAUCGAACAUGAAUUUUGUGGGUUCAUUCUUACCCAAUCCAACCAAAUGUGCUACAAAUGAUUGCUAAACAUGGCAUUCUAAUUAAAUUUUCUUAUUUUUGUGGUGUCAACUGAAUCCAUUGUCUUUCAAGUGAGUUCACCACUGCUUCCAAGUGCACCGACUUUCCAGCUAAAUUGAAAAAGAAGAUAGGAUCUAAGAGGAUACCAACUUGUACACGAUGUUGUAUGGCCAACGCUAUGAUGAGACCAGCAAACUUAAACUUCUUCAGGUAAUCUUCAUCAACAAAGGAAGCAGGGUUUGGUCUAUAACUUCUGCAGUCGCCAGGAGAUACAGUGAACAACUUUCUCUUUGGGUCAAAAAUCUCUUUGGAAACCAGGAAGAACCAUUCCAGAACUAGUCCAUCACCAUAAGCUUCUUCCCUCUUGAAACGCGCCGAGAUGUCACCGUUAAGAGUUGUAGCACCCGUAGGCUGUAAAAUUGACUGAUCCAAUAACCAUGACCUGUUAAUUUCGAUAUGAAGCAUCUCUUCCUUUGUUUCCAUACACAUCAGUUUUCCAAAAUGAUACCGGAUCUGGAAGUUCCUAUAGUCGCUCCGCUUUAAUGCUCAAUUUUGAUCCCCAAUUCGUGAAAAAGGUGACAAGAGAGUAGAGUGCAGCUUUCCUAGACUUGAUCAUAUCCUCAACUUGUUCCAUCACACCUUUUUCUGAUUCAGAUAGAGCUACAAUUGGGAGACGUUUAACCAUCUGGCCAGCUGGCUAGAGGAUGCGAGGCAGCAUGCAAACGCGAAUAUGACGAUAAUGCUAAUUGGGAAUAAGUGUGAUCUUGCACACAGAAGGGCAGUGACCACGGAGGAAGGAGAGCAGUUUGCAAAGGAGCACGGUCUUAUUUUCAUGGAAGCCUCUGCCAAGACUGCUCAGAAUGUCGAAGAGGCAUUCAUAAAGACUGCAGCAACAAUAUACAAAAAAAGAUUGAAGAUGGUGUGUUGAUGUGUCAAACGAGUCGUAUGGAAUUAAAGUUGGAUAUGGAGGCAUCCCGGGGCCAUCAGGUGGCAGAGACGGAUCCACAUCGCAAGGAGGAGGUUGUUGCGGCUAAGAUUGGGAAUGGUGUCUAUGUCAUAUAAAGCAAAAAUCUCUCCUGUUUAAAUUAUAUAGUUUUGUAAAUCGUUUGGUUUUCGAUUUGGUGACUUUGUGUUGUGUUGGAUUUCAGAUCAUUCAUUUAUCUAUAAGAUGUGUUUUGCAUAUCAAAGGAUAUGAUUGAGAGGUGGGAUAUGAUUUUGGAACAGAUUGUUCAUCCUGUUUCAUUUUUGAAUGAUUAUCAUAAGCAAAGGAAAUGAUAUCAUGUGAGUAGAUAUACGGUAUUCGUAACGGGCAUGAGUUAUGAAAGGUGCUUAUCUGUUGUGUCUGUGGUUCAGAGAAGCAAGAGGUACAGAAGACGAACUCCCAACAUGGAUACAUGCGGAACGAAGACCAGUACACGAGGUAAAACAAGCAGUUAGGUUCUUGUGAGUACUCAACCUGUCAUAUUACAUUGACCUACGUCUUAAGUGACCAGAGCGGAACAUCUACGCGAUAUCUUUCUGUUCUUUUAAUGUCUAAGUGCAGACAUAUAACAUACAACAACAUAAGACUGGAUAGUCCUAUAUUUUUAGUUUUUGAGUUUCGUCAAAGAGAGAUUUUAUAGUUGAUGUGUACAUUUUGAUCUCUCUCUACAACUUCUUCGUUAGAAAUCUUAAACCUAGUGUGUUGUUAUAUUUUAAAAAAAAAUACUAGUAUUAUAAAAAUCUAUAUUAGAACAUGAUUAGUGGUAAGCUCUCAAUAGAUUUCUCAUGAUAAAAUAAAAUAAAAAUAAUUGAAAAGUAAGAGAGAGGAGAGAGUAAAUCUCUUUAGGAAGAGAUUUUUACCUUAUGCAAAAACU
This is a long non-coding RNA of Brassica rapa (field mustard), 4839 nucleotides long. RefSeq lists it as uncharacterized. NCBI's taxonomy places the organism in Eukaryota, Viridiplantae, Streptophyta, Magnoliopsida, Brassicales, Brassicaceae. The record is from RefSeq and is a predicted model, not a curated record.